This 26-nucleotide non-coding RNA is filed under the name Mus musculus (house mouse). Lineage: Eukaryota; Metazoa; Chordata; Mammalia; Rodentia; Muridae. The record is from RNAcentral.
UGUCAUGAGAUGUUGUCACUUGUUAU